AUGCCACCCCACAGAAAUGGAAACCUCUCCAUGGUCUACUUUCAAGAUUUUGUGCUGGAGGGAUUUGAGGGUGGCCUGGGGACCCAGGCCCUGCUCUUUGCUGUAUUCCUGGCCUUGUACAUGAUGACUGUGCUGGGGAACCUCACCAUGAUCAUGGUUAUCACCCUGGAUGCCCACCUGCACUCCCCAAUGUACUUCUUCCUCAAGAAUAUCUCCUUCCUGGAUUUGUGCUACUCAUCUGUCAUCACCCCCAGUGCCCUGGUCAACUUCUUUUCCCCAUCCAAGGUCAUCACCUUUGCAGGCUGUGCCACCCAGUUAUUCUUUUUCUCCCUACUGGUCACCACUGAAGGGGUGUCAUGGCCUAUGAUCGCUUCAUGGCGAUCUGCAGCCCCUUGCGCUACGCCAUCACCAUGUGCCAUUCUGCCUGCACUCGCCUGGUUCUAGGAACCUACUGUGGAGGCUGCCUCAACUCUGUUGUGGAGACGAGCUUCACAUUCCGCCUUCCAUUCUGCAGCUCCAAUCACAUCAACCACUUCUUCUGUGAUGUUCCCCCCUUGCGCCAGCUGGCCUGUGGCAACACGGCCAUCAGUGAACUUCUCUUGUUUGGUAUCUGUGGGCUCAUCAUUGUAGGUGUGACAUUUGUGGACCUCGUCUCCUAUGGCUACAUCACAGUGACCAUCCUGAGGAUGCGCUCAGGAGCUGGGAGACGCAAGGUCUUCUCCACCUGUGGCUCCCACAUGGCUGCAGUGACUCUCUUUGUUGGGACUGUCUUUGUCAUGUAUGCCCAGCCAGAAGCAAUUGAAUCCAUGGAGCAGAGCAAGGUGGUCUCUGUCUUCUACAUGCUGGUCAUCCCAAUGCUCAAUCCCCUCAUCUACAGUCUGCGAAACAAGGAUGUGAAGGAGGCCCUGUGGAGGCUGGGCCAGAAAUACACAGCCAUGUGA
This is an RNA transcript of Odobenus rosmarus divergens (Pacific walrus), 941 nucleotides long. It is a transcript of the gene named olfactory receptor 12-like, with no coding region annotated. The record is from RefSeq and is a predicted model, not a curated record. Lineage: Eukaryota; Metazoa; Chordata; Mammalia; Carnivora; Odobenidae. The transcript has a single exon.